CCUACGGGAGGCAGCAGUGGGGAAUAUUGCACAAUGGGGGAAACCCUGAUGCAGCGACGCCGCGUGAGUGAAGAAGUAUUUCGGUAUGUAAAGCUCUAUCAGCAGGGAGGAAAGUGACGGUACCUGACUAAGAGGCCCCGGCUAACUACGUGCCAGCAACCGCGGUAAUACGUAGGGGGCACGCGUGAUCUGGAUUUACUGGGGGAAAAGGGAGCGGAGACGGCCAGACAAGUCAGAAGUGAAAGCCCAGGGCUAAACCCUGGGACUGCUUUUGAAACUGGCGGGCUGGAGUGCAGGAGAGGUAAGAGGAAUUCCCAGUGUAGCGGUGAAAUGGGUAGAUAGUAGGAGGAAAACCAGUGGCGAAGGCGGCUCAUUGGAAUGUAACUGACGUUGAGGCUCGAAAGCGUGGGGAGCAAACAGGAUUAGAACCCUGGUAGUC
This 439-nucleotide ribosomal RNA is filed under the name uncultured bacterium. Its description in RNAcentral is "partial 16S ribosomal RNA". It matches the Rfam family "Bacterial small subunit ribosomal RNA", at positions 338 to 795 of the family's 1533-position model. The record is from RNAcentral.